GGAGGAAUGGUUCAAAUGGUAGCACAAGGCCUUGUAAGUACAAGGUCCUGAGUUCAAUCCCCAGUACCUCCA
RNAcentral lists this transfer RNA (72 nucleotides) under Dipodomys ordii (Ord's kangaroo rat). It matches the Rfam family "tRNA". Rfam says of the family: Transfer RNA (tRNA) molecules are approximately 80 nucleotides in length. Their secondary structure includes four short double-helical elements and three loops (D, anti-codon, and T loops). Lineage: Eukaryota; Metazoa; Chordata; Mammalia; Rodentia; Heteromyidae. The record is from Rfam by way of RNAcentral.